RNAcentral lists this ribosomal RNA (655 nucleotides) under Bacillus stercoris. RNAcentral's name for it is "bacterial SSU rRNA". It matches the Rfam family "Bacterial small subunit ribosomal RNA", at positions 93 to 733 of the family's 1533-position model. The record is from RNAcentral. Lineage: Bacteria; Bacillati; Bacillota; Bacilli; Caryophanales; Bacillaceae.
UAGCGGCGGACGGGUGAGUAACACGUGGGUAACCUGCCUGUAAGACUGGGAUAACUCCGGGAAACCGGGGCUAAUACCGGAUGCUUGUUUGAACCGCAUGGUUCAAACAUAAAAGGUGGCUUCGGCUACCACUUACAGAUGGACCCGCGGCGCAUUAGCUAGUUGGUGAGGUAAUGGCUCACCAAGGCGACGAUGCGUAGCCGACCUGAGAGGGUGAUCGGCCACACUGGGACUGAGACACGGCCCAGACUCCUACGGGAGGCAGCAGUAGGGAAUCUUCCGCAAUGGACGAAAGUCUGACGGAGCAACGCCGCGUGAGUGAUGAAGGUUUUCGGAUCGUAAAGCUCUGUUGUUAGGGAAGAACAAGUACCGUUCGAAUAGGGCGGUACCUUGACGGUACCUAACCAGAAAGCCACGGCUAACUACGUGCCAGCAGCCGCGGUAAUACGUAGGUGGCAAGCGUUGUCCGGAAUUAUUGGGCGUAAAGGGCUCGCAGGCGGUUUCUUAAGUCUGAUGUGAAAGCCCCCGGCUCAACCGGGGAGGGUCAUUGGAAACUGGGGAACUUGAGUGCAGAAGAGGAGAGUGGAAUUCCACGUGUAGCGGUGAAAUGCGUAGAGAUGUGGAGGAACACCAGUGGCGAAGGCGACUCUCUGGU